CGAAUUUUCAAUAAAGUUUCACAAAAUUCUGAUUUUUUACCGCCGUGAUAAUGAUGACCGAAAAAUGGACAUUUCCAAGUAAAUAUGCGGUUUUCUCAAUAAAUUACAAGUUCUAGUCUAGAGCAACUUAGAACUUGAAAGUUUCUGCAGAUAUAGCAGACGCUUGAAGCAGCAGUUUGUGAAAUUCGGACCGAAAUCGAGUAAAAUCAUGAUUUUUGAUGCUUGGUAAUCGAUCCUCAAAUGAAAAUGACAAAUGAACGCGCCCACGUAGAUGCGCACUCUUCCUGAAAAAUCUUUGUUUACUAAACAGCAGCAGUGAGAAAUGCGCCAGAAGGCUUUAGCAGCUUUGGGAGAAAGCUCCAAUUAGGGCACGGAAAAAUUGGUAUCUACGGUGCGCCACUGGAUCCCACAUAAGUGCUCCCAUUUGCCGGAUUUUCCAAACUGGUCUCACUUAUUAAGAAGGACGUUUGUCGACCUUUUGAAUUAGAUGAAUAUUUGAAAGACUGAAAAAGCUUCGAAGACAAGUUUCCUUUCUGAGAAACUUCUUACCUGUAAAGCCGCAUAUAGAAAGUUUAAAUAUUCUUCUGCUGGAUGCACUGGUGACUGUUUGAGCACAGAAUAAUGUUUUUAAGAUUAGCAACAAACGAGCCUUAUCUGGGUAUAAUUAGAUAAAAGUGGCGCUUACAGUAUCGCCAACAUAAUAAAAACAAUGGGGCUCGCUGCCCGAUUAAUGAAA
Dendroctonus ponderosae (mountain pine beetle) is the source of this 736-nucleotide long non-coding RNA. RefSeq lists it as uncharacterized. The transcript has 2 exons. The record is from RefSeq and is a predicted model, not a curated record. NCBI's taxonomy places the organism in Eukaryota, Metazoa, Arthropoda, Insecta, Coleoptera, Curculionidae.